AGGAAUUGGCGGGGGAGCACCGCAACGGGAGGAGCGUGCGGUUUAAUUGGAUUCAACACCGGAAAACUCACCAAGGGAGACCAUCACAUGAAAGCCAGGCUAAUGACUUUGCUUGAUUCUUGGAGAAGUGGUGCAUGGCCAUCGUCAGUUCGUACUGUAAAGCGUUCUCUUAAGUGAGAUAACGAACAAGACCCUCACUUAUAAUUGCUACUCGUCUGUCCGCAGACGAGGCACAUUAUCGGGACCGCUGGCGCUAAGUCAGAGGAAGGAGAGGUCAACGGUAGGUCAGUAUGCCCUGAAUCUCUUGGGCUACACGCGCGCUACAAAGGGCGGGACAAUGGGUCCCUACACCGAAAGGUGGAGGCAAUCUCGAAACCCGUCCGUAGUUCGGACUGAGGGUUGUAACUCACCCUCACGAAGCUGGAUUCCGUAGUAAUCGCGAAUCAACAACUCGCGGUGAAUAUGCCCCUGCUCCUUGCACACACCGC
This 488-nucleotide ribosomal RNA is filed under the name uncultured euryarchaeote. Its description in RNAcentral is "bacterial SSU rRNA". It matches the Rfam family "Archaeal small subunit ribosomal RNA", at positions 860 to 1349 of the family's 1478-position model. RNAcentral also lists the same sequence under 1 other name. Lineage: Archaea; Methanobacteriati; Methanobacteriota. The record is from RNAcentral.